AUUUUCGGGCUUGCAGAAACCCUUACAACCGGCAGUGAACGGUCUGCGACCGACGGUGAGGAGGUGAAGCAGGGAGUUGUCGGUUCGGGCGUACACAACGCCGUCCAACCCACAGCGACGAGGUUGAUGGAAGGAGCGGCUGUGAGAGGAAAUUGGGGAAGAAGGAGUUAGGAGGUUGGGGGAGGAACUACAGUAGUGCGUUGGGAGUGAUGCGAGGGCUCAGCCAAACCCGUGAAGAGAGAGAGAGAGGGGGGGGUGGGGUUAACAAACCCCACCCUGUCGGCCUUAUUCCCGCUUAACCCCUUUUGGGGUGGGGUUUGUUAACCCCACCCCAAAAUAUGGGUGUUUGGGAGUAAGUACGGGGUUAAGGGGUUAUUCCACCCCUUAACCCCAUACCAAACAGAGGCUAAAAAAUUUAUUGAUUUUACGUUUUUACAAAAAAAAGUUAUUUUUCAAAUUUUAUAAAUCACAUCUAGAGUUUUAGUAAACAAACCAAAUUAUUCUUAUUUCUCUUUUUCUUUCGUUUCAUUUUCUUUUUCGUUUUUCUUUUUCCUCUUCGUCGCUGUACCCCUCCUCCAUUGCCGCCGUGUCGACGCUGUGCUCCUCUCUUCUUUCUCGUUCGCACCACCACCAGCGCUGGCAGCAACGAUAUAUGCUCAUAUAUGGCACUUAUUGCAAAAAUAAGGUUGUGACACAGAGCGUGGCUCUAGACGGCAACGGUGACGGCGACGAAGGUGUUGUAGGAUUUAAGGACGAUGGAGGGAAUAGUGCAUUGGGAUGGAGGGAACAGUUGCGGUAAAGGACGAAGGAGAAAGUGCGGUUGAAAAAAUAUGUUGCAAAGAAUAGGAAAAAAAAAAGAAAUAAAAAAUAAUUUUCCUCUCUAGAGAACCCAUCACAUUCUGCGGCCAUUACAAAAAAAGUUCAAAAUAAAUUAUAUUAAAACUAUAUAAUUUAAAAUUAUU
RNAcentral lists this long non-coding RNA (962 nucleotides) under Ananas comosus (pineapple). RNAcentral's name for it is "long non-coding RNA (ACOM_LNC023002)". The record is from RNAcentral. Lineage: Eukaryota; Viridiplantae; Streptophyta; Magnoliopsida; Poales; Bromeliaceae.